UUGCUGCCACCACGAGGAGGGAGGAGUUCGGUGUGGGCUGGUUCUCGAAGGUCCCCACCCUCGGAACUAUCUUCCAGAGUCCCGGAGCUGUGCGGGCCCCGGAUCCUCUGGCUAACCUUCCGGAUGACCAACAGGACAGGCUGGUGAGAGUCUCUAGUUGAGCUAGGCCGGCCGGUCGGUCGUCUGUUUGUGUCUCUGCCAUCCAUCACUUGUUCUGCAAAUCCAUCCUGAUGACAGAAGUGACUGUCUUGGAUUACUUCUGAAGAAGGUCAGCCCUAGGUUGAGCCAUCUGAGCUGUUUCUGCCGUCCAGGGAUGCCGUGGAACUGUCACCGGCACCAGUCUCUCAUCCUCCUUAGCUUGUACUCAAAUGCCAGUCUUUGGCACUUCCACGUGGUCUUGUGAGUGGCUGAGGUCAGCUCUUAGGACCAGAGGAAGCCUCAGGCUGAGAAGUGAGAACUGAGCAUCUGAAAUGGGCAUGGGCCCAUGGACUCUGGGACUGUCUGCCAAGACUUGAGAUCGGCUAAUGUGUGCGGGGAAUGUGUGGGGAAGCCUCAACAGCCUGCCUGAGGCCAUCAUCGAACCACCCCAUAACCUUACCUUCCAGGCAGCUGCAGAAUCCUUGUCAUUGUAGUGUUUGAGACAGCCACGUGUUCUUUGGGGACGUUCAUAAUGAAGUCUGUUUGAGGCUCUACAACUCCAUGUAUGUGCGCAGAAGCCCCCAGGGCGAUGGGGAAGGACAGGCCAGAACAGUGAGUGAUGUCAUGAUUUAAUCUGGUACCUGUCAGGGAAUGUACAGAGCCAAACCUGAGACAAAGCCUGACCUCUGACCAUGGAGCUGACCUUCAGGCAUUGGGUCCCACCAGAGAAGGGUCUUUCUUAUGCUAUACAUUCCUGCAGGAAACAGCCAGAGCAGAUGGCAGGCCUGGCCGAGGGAGGCAGGCAGGGUUUAUAGAGAGCAAUACAGUCUGAUGGUGUCCAAGCUGUUUCCCUCCCAGCCUGAGCAGAGGAAUCCUGUCCAGAUGGAGCCGCCAGGGCUGCAGCUGCUGGAGAUCUGGGCAGAGUGUGCCUGGCCUACUGCUUGCUCCCCAGUCUUGGAUCUUCCCGAGUGACCCCCAGCGGGAUGUACAGCACCCUCCAUUUCCCAAAGCGAUGCCUUGUUUGAAGAAGAAGGGCAGAAGCCGAGCAAAUAUUUGUGCCUCCAGGCCUCACUUGGCACUCACCGCAUUGGAGUUUUCUGCUGGGACUGACAGCAAGUCUUUGCAGGCAGAUUCUGCUCUGCAUGGCCUGGGAGAGAUGCCAGACCCUGGCUGGGGUCUGUCCUGCCCAUUUAUGUGCUGCUGCGAUGGCCCCUCUCUCCACCUCCCUCACUGCACUCCUUCAUCUUUGUUCAGAGCAUGCUUCUUCAAAGAAUGGUCCAUGCCCCAGCCUGCAGCCCUCUGUGAUGUAGCUGCCACCCCAUCCUCCCGCAUUGUCCCCUUACAGACCUCGGAUGCCAUCCUCCCUCCCUUCACGCCAUGGUCUUUUCUGCUUGUAGCCAAAUUCUUUCCUUUCUGCCUUCUCCUGCUGCUUUUUCCGCCUCUCAGAUGGCCUCUUCCAUCUCCUCCCGAAUGUCUCUUCAGUCUUAACCCUCACCCUCCAGACCCCGGGGCCAUUCGUCAAGGCCGAGCCGAGGAAAAGACAAAAACACAGACAUCUGGAUACCGCACUCCGUGACUCUUGGAACUACAGGAAGACAAGGUGGGCAUCGUGCAGGGAGAGGAGUCGGGGCAACAGAACUCAUCUCAGACUAGGGGUCUGGUAUGGGCUCAACAGCUCUGCCCCAUGGGCUAAUGGGAAGAGUCCAGGAUAUUCAGGUUGCAAGAGCCAGAGAUAUGGCUCAGUGCCAG
Long non-coding RNA from Mus pahari (shrew mouse), 1887 nucleotides. RefSeq lists it as uncharacterized. NCBI's taxonomy places the organism in Eukaryota, Metazoa, Chordata, Mammalia, Rodentia, Muridae. The transcript is spliced from 3 exons. The record is from RefSeq and is a predicted model, not a curated record.